RNAcentral lists this microRNA precursor (103 nucleotides) under Chlorocebus sabaeus (green monkey). Its description in RNAcentral is "miRNA (ENSCSAG00000022518.1)". Lineage: Eukaryota; Metazoa; Chordata; Mammalia; Primates; Cercopithecidae. The record is from RNAcentral.
UCAUAGUAAAUGCUUUUAGGUUGGGGCAAAAGUAGUUGCGGUUUUUUUUUUUCUCAUUACUUUUACUGCAAUUACUUUUGCACCAAACUAAAUAUAUAAGUAU